GAACUCUGAGACAGGUGCUGCAUGGCUGUCGUCAGCUCGUGUUGUGAAAUGUUGGGUUAAGUCCCGCAACGAGCGCAACCCUUAUCCUUGUUUGCCAGCGAGUAAUGUCGGGAACUCCAGGGAGACUGCCGGUGAUAAACCGGAGGAAGGUGGGGACGACGUCAAGUCAUCAUGGCCCUUACGAGUAGGGCUACACACGUGCUACAAUGGCGCAUACAGAGGGCGGCCAACUUGCGAAAGUGAGCGAAUCCCAAAAAGUGCGUCGUAGUCCGGAUUGGAGUCUGCAACUCGACUCCAUGAAGUCGGAAUCGCUAGUAAUCGUGGAUCAGAAUGCCACGGUGAAUACGUUCCCGGGCCUUGUACACACCGCCCGUCACACCAUGGGAGUGGGCUGCAAAAGAAGUGGGUAGUUUAACCUUCGGGAGGACGCUCACCACUUUGUGGUUCAUGACUGGGGUGAAGUCGUAACAAGGUAGCGCUAGGGGAACCUGGCGCUGGAUCACCUCCUUA
Molecule: ribosomal RNA, 510 nt
Filed under: Vibrio vulnificus
Lineage: Bacteria; Pseudomonadati; Pseudomonadota; Gammaproteobacteria; Vibrionales; Vibrionaceae
Description: bacterial SSU rRNA
Rfam family: Bacterial small subunit ribosomal RNA
Source: RNAcentral